Molecule: non-coding RNA, 6179 nt
Organism: Erythranthe guttata (spotted monkey flower)
Lineage: Eukaryota; Viridiplantae; Streptophyta; Magnoliopsida; Lamiales; Phrymaceae
Source: RefSeq, a predicted model, not a curated record
UCCAAAUACACCUCAGAUUUUUCUCUCUCUUGCUCCGUUCUUCUGUAUACGCACGCGCUAAUUUACACAGACAAACACGUGUGGGAAGUACAUGUGUAAGUUUGUACACGUUAAUUUCUGUCGUGCGAUGUUUUGUUGUCGUUUGCAUCUUUUUUUCUGAUAUUUGUUUAGACGAUUUGGUUGAAUUUCUCGAUCCGGAGGUUUUUUUAACCCGGUGUGAAUCUGCGUGCCCGAUUGAUUUUUGAUAGGUUUUAGAUCAGAGUGAAGCCCUAGAAAUUAAAUAAAGCACGAUAAAGAAGGGCUUCUGUCUAAUUGGAGCGAUCUAGGGUAUUUUCCGUGGUCGAAUUGGGAGAUUCGGGGCUUUUUUUUGAUUCUGUUGUUGAUAUUCGAUUGGGAGUUUCUGGAGAUUUGAAUUAUUGUCGAAAAUGAGAUAAAUAGGUGCUGAUAGGAGUUUAGGUUUGUUGUUGAGGUCGAAAUUUGACGAGGAAUUUUGAAAGAUUUUGAUGCUUGAAGCAGAGGGUGGUAUAAAAACUGGGGAAAAUGCAAAUAACCGUAUUUUAUUAUGCAUGGGCGGGUUCAGCGAGACAGCGAGAGCUGUAGGAGUUUACGGCGAAGUAGUAGUCAGCACAUGCGGUCACUCCUUCCAUUAUCGAAUACCAACAAUUCUGUAGUUGUCGCUGGGGAGAUUCAUUCUCCUCGUGUUUCUGCUGCCACAACCUCCGCCACUAGUGAUUCGUUCUUAAAGGACGGUCGCAAAAUUAGUGUUGGUGACUGUGCUCUUUUCAAACCGCCCAAGGAUUAUCCACCUCUCAUUGGUUUAAUUCGUUGGUUGGGGUUUAACAAAGAUAAUAACUUGCAGCUGGGUGUGAAUUGGCUUUAUCGAUCAUCUGAACUAACGCUUGAAAAGGGCACUUUAGUGGACGGUGCCCCAAACGAGAUUUUCUAUUCAUUUCACAAGGACGAAAUUCCUGCUGCAUCUCUACUCCAUCCAUGUAAAGUUGCAUUUCUUCCUAGAGGUGUAGAACUUCCCAAAGGGACAUCCGCUUUUGUUUGUCGGCGUGCCUAUGACAUUACAAACAAGUGUUUAUGGUGGCUAACAGAUCAAGAUUACAUUAAUGAGCAGCAAGAAGAAGUAGAUCGACUUUUACACAACACUAAGAUAGAGAUGCAUGUGAGUUUGCAGCCUGUUGUUCGUUCUCCAAAGCAAGCUAAUGUUCCGACUUCAACCUCACAGUUGAAACCGACUUCUGAUAGUGGUCAAAAUAGUGGGAGUUCUUUUCCUUCUCAACCCAAGGGAAAGAAGAGGGAGAGAGGUGAUCAUGGUUCGGACCCUUCAAAACGAGAACGCUCUUCAAGGACUAAUGGUGGUGAUUUGGUUCAAUGCAAAACCAAAAGUAAUUUAAAAUAUGAGAUUGCACGAAUAACAGAAAAAAGUGGAGUUUUGGAUUUGGAAGGGGUUGAAAAACUUGUCCAGUUGAUGCAAACAGAUAGAACAGAGAGAGAAAUGGAUUUGGUAAGCCGCUCCAUGCUUGCCAAUGUAAUGGCUUCCAUUGAAAAGGUUGAUUGCCUCAAUUUGUUUGUGCAGCUCAGAGGUUUGCCUGUGUUGGAUGAGUGGCUGCAGGAUAUUCAUAAAGGGAAGAUUGGUAAUGAUUCUAAUGUCAAGGAUGGUGAUAAAUCUGUGGAGGAAUUCCUUUUGGUUUUACUUCGUGCACUCGAUAAACUUCCAGUUAAUCUUCAUGCCCUUCAGAUGUGCAACAUUGGCAGAUCUGUGAAUCACUUACGAUCACAUAAAAAUAUAGAAAUUCAGAGAAAGGCACGGAGUUUAGUUGACACUUGGAAGAAACGUGUUGAAGCCGAAAUGAUUAGUAUUGAUGCGAAGUCAACCUCAACCCACACUGUAUCUGUGUGGCCUUCCAAGUCACGUCUUCCAGAGGCUUCUCAUGGUUUGAGCGGAACUCCAAGUGAGUCUGAUGCUGCCAUUAAAAGCUCAAUUACUCAGAAUUCUGCAUCCAAAACUACUUCAGUUAAGUCUUCACAUGGGGAAAGUAGCAUAAAGUAUGCAACCUCAUCUCCUAGACCUGUCCAACCAGCUUCACAACUUGCAUCUGGAAAGGAGAGCCAGAGUAGAAUUUCUGUGGGAGGCACUGCUGGUGCCCCUCAAAUUAGGGAGGACAGGAGUAGCAGCUCUAAUCAUUCCAAUAGUUAUGGUCAGUCUUCUCCAGCGAAGGAAGACCUGAAGAAUUCCACAGCAGGUUCAUUGACUGCUAAUAACAUGUCCAGCAGUAGUACCCGUAAUCGGAAAUUUAGUGGUUUUCCUGGAACAUCACCGACUGGAAGUCAGAUAGAAACAAGCUCUAGCAGAAUUCCUUCAGCACAAAAAAGUACUGCUUUUGAGAAGAAGUCUCACUCUGCAUUAACGAGUGAAAGGGUUGUCGAAGGACCCAGUGAAGGAAGCAGUCAUAAGUUAAUUGUUAAGAUACCAAAUCGGGCGAGGAGUCCUGCCCAAGGUGGCAGUGGAGGAUAUUUUGAAGAACCUACCUUUACCAGCAGCCGAGCUUCUUCUCCUGCUGUUGUGAACAAACAUGAACAGUCUGAUAAUGUUUCAAAAGACAGGAGUUGUGCAUAUCGAUUCAAUGUUGGGGCAGACAUGAAUGCAUGCCGAAACAGUGAUUCAAAAGAGGUAUUUGUUAAGUCAGAGGAUGCUGUGUCACCUGCAGUUCUUCCUGAUGAAGAGCAAAGCAUAAUCAAUGAAGGCUCCAAGAGAUUAAUUGAAGCCCCUCCUAGGAAUCAAUUGGAGUCGUUCAAAUUGAAAGCCUCAUCUUUCAGCCCCAUGAAUGCGCUAAUUGAGAGCUGUGCUAAAUAUUCGGAAGCAACUUCAUCAUUGUCACUUGAAGAUGAUGUUGGAAUGAACUUGCUUGCUAGUGUGGCUGCCGGAGAAAUGUCCAGAUCUGAUGUGGUUUCCCCUACUGAUUCUAGUGAAAGAAGUAAGCCUGUAGUUGAGGAUGUCUGCACUGGUGAUGAGGCAAAAUCAAAGUCUUCCCCUGAAAAUUACGAGGCAAGAGCGCAGAAUCAGUUUCAAAAUGACGCUGAACGUGAUGUCAAGAAGCAGGCUGUUUUGGACAGUUUGUCAUAUUCCGAUGAUGGGUUAUAUUUGUCUAAGAAUGCACCACCCGAGCUUUCUAGUUUUAAGAAAUGUGCUCCAUGUCAUUCUUCUGAAGAUAAACAAAAUGGGGGAGGUACUCCAGGCACGGUUUCGAGAUGCAAUGCAGACCUUAAGUGGAAGAUCAGUGAGAAGCCAAAUGAAAAUACAGUUGCCUCUUCUUUGGCACUUCCGAUCUCUCCAGAGAAGGUAAGGCACGUUGAAUCAAAUGCAGGGAUUCAGGAGGAAAAAGGCAUUUAUAGUAAUGUUAUUGGUGAUGGUAUUUCAAAUAGUAGAACUAGCAGAAGUGAUGUCAUGAUGGCCGAGGAAAAGGACGUUUCUGAUCAUUUGAGUGUAGAUGGGUCUAAGCCAAUGGUUGGACUUGCGGAACCACAGCCCUUGGAUGGAGGUGACUUCACCAAGUUUGUGAAUGGAGGAUUAGACACGACAGCCAAUUCACAUCAGAAAUUGACUGUUGAGAUUCUCAAGUCUGAAUUUGCAGCAGGAGAUAAUACUGAAAAGCUUCACCAAACCGAAUGUAGCCAGAAAUCAGUGUCAGAAUCUGGUGAUCCAUUUCAAGCUGGAGAACUGGAUCUUAAAUCUGCCAAUAAUUGCAUUAGCAAGUCUGAAAGACUGAACUCUGUUAAGGAAGAGAAAGUGCACGGAAAUACAGCUAUUGGAAGCCAUAGUGCAGCUGCCUUAUGUUUGACAUCUCAUGAUCUCAAAAGUCAUCAUAAAGAGGCAAAGGUGGAAAACCAGGAGAUUCCAGAGCAUGUUUCACUUCCAGAGAGAAAGUACCCUUGUUCUGCGGAUAAUGAAGUUCAGAAAGUGGCUGAAUUGACAGAAUCCAUGUGUACAAGCAUUCAGAAAGAUGAGAGUGCUUCUGGUGGUGCCGGGGCAGCUUCUUCCUCUGCUACAAGAGCAGAUGAUCCAGGUGCAAAGAUAAAGUUUGACUUAAAUGAAGGUUUUAGUGACGAUGAUAGGAAGUAUGAGGAGUCCGACACAACCUCUGGUUCCACCAAUAAUCAUAUUAACUCGUUACCACUUUCUGUGAAUUCUUUAACUGGUGCUCCUUCUACCACCAUUACCGUAGCUGCUGCUGCAAAAGGCCCCUUUGUUCCGCCUGAGGACUUGUUGAGGAAUAAAGUUGAACUUGGAUGGAAGGGAUCUGCUUCUACUAGUGCAUUUCGACCUGCUGAACCUAGAAAAGUUCUUGAAAUGCCGCUGGGUCCAACAAAUUUGUCAUGCCCUGAUACUUCUUCCAGUAAACAAGACCGCAUUCUUUUGGAUAUUGAUCUGAAUGUGCCAGAUGAAAGAGUUCUCGAGGAAAUGGCUUGUCGAGGUGCUGCUUUGGCGGUUGAUUCAACAACUGAGCGGGCAAGUAAUUUUUCCACGUCGAAUGAGGCAUCUAAUUCUAUGCCUAUUCGCGGAUCUGGUGGGCUGGAUUUUGAUUUGAAUGCACUCGAUGAAGCAAAUGAUACUGGGCACUGCACCACCACCGCCGCCAGUCGCAACGGAGAGCCAUCUAUUCUGAAUUUCAAAAUUGGUGGCUUACAUGCUCGGAGGGAUUUUGAUCUCAACGACGGGCUUGUGGCUGAUGAUUCAAGUGCGGAACAGUUUCCCUUCAAUCAACUAGUCAAAGGUGGUAGAACGUCUCAGCUGCCUUUGGCUGGACUUAGAAUGAACAGUCCAGUGAUGGGCAGUUACUCAUCCUGGUUUCCUCAAGCGAAUACUUACUCAAAAGUAGCAAUCCCGACAAUGUUACCUGAUCGAGUGGAGCAGCCUUUCCCCGUUUUUCCACCCGGUGGGCCCCAGAGAACGUAUGGCCCUACUGGUGUUAGUGUUAAUCCAUUUAAUCCUGACAUUUACCGUGGAUCAGUAUUAUCAUCAUCUCCUGCAACGCCUUUUCCCUCAAGUCCUUUUCAGUUCCCUGUCUUUCCUUUUGGUCCCACUUACCCUCUCCCUUCGGCCACUUUUUCAGUCGGAAAUACCUCGUAUACAGAUUCUGCAUCUGGUCCCAGGCUCUUUGUACCUUCAGUAAAUUCACAGUAUUUAGGACCUGUUGGUUCUGUCACAUCCCAAUUUCAGAGGCCUUACGUGGUUAGCCUUCCAGAGAUGAAUAAUAACGGUGGGCUUGAGAGCAACAUAAAGUGGGUCCGACAGGGUCUGGACCUCAACACUGGCCCUGAAGCUGUGGAAAGUGCAGGCAGGGGAGACAUGUGGCCUUUGUCAUCAGGCCAACACUCUGGUCCCAGUUCGCAAGCUCUAGCGGAGGAGCAGGCCAGGAUGUUUUCUGUUUCAGGUGGUAUUUUGAAGAGGAAAGAACCCGAGGGAGGCUGGGAUAAUGAGGCCUUCAGACAUAAGCAGUCUUCACGGAAGUAGAAUGGGAGCUUUGGAGUAUAUAUUCCCUAGGAUCAUUGAGCAAAGGAGUAAGCAUUCAAUGUUGUCAGAUGAAGUACUGAUUAUCAGCAGCCUCCCUUUGUACUGUAGUAUUUGAAGCCCCGAUUAACUAUCGACGUGGUGGUUAUUUCUCCAGAGGAUGGGAUGGGUGACCUGUGAGUAGAUUUUGUGUCCAUAUUCUCCGACCCUCACUGCUCGUGCAUGUUAGGUGUAUGGUGCAGGCAGCACUGCAUAGCCGCUGUAGAUAUUUGUUGCAGAAAGCAUUAAACCCCUUCCCAGUGCAUAGCAUUCAAAAUAGUUCGAUGCAACAUCCCUAACUAAUAUUCUGAGGAGGCUGGUUUUAUAUCUGGUAUAUUUGGAGCCCUUCGGAAUUUGAGCUUGCGUUUUUUUCUUCACUUUUUAUUACUCUUUUACCCUUUUUUGUCUUUAUUUCCCCCAUACAUAUAUUUAUGUUAAUGCGUAGGGUGUAAUCUAAUUUUGGAUACUAAAAAAUGCCAUCUUGUUUGCUUUAGUCGUAAUCGCUUUUAUGGUAUUAUAAGUUUGUUUUACAUUACCCUUCUCGUCGCAGUAUCUUUGAUGCACCGUCUUUUUAUCGACUGUGCGUUGAUUGUGAAAUGAAUACUAUUAAUUUUGGUUUUUU